RNAcentral lists this ribosomal RNA (253 nucleotides) under uncultured bacterium. RNAcentral's name for it is "partial 16S ribosomal RNA". It matches the Rfam family "Bacterial small subunit ribosomal RNA", at positions 524 to 776 of the family's 1533-position model. The record is from RNAcentral.
UACAGAGGCCUCGAGCGUUAAUCGGAAUCACUGGGCUUAAAGCGUACGUAGGCGGGCGCGCAGGCAUCUUGUGAAAUCCCACGGCUCAACCGUGGAAUAGCUUGGUGAACCGCGCGUCUUGAGUCAGGUAGGGGUCGCCGGAACGAUAGGUGGAGCGGUGAAAUGCGUUGAUAUCUAUCGGAACGCCAAAGGUGAAGACAGGCGACUGGGCCUGAACUGACGCUGAGGUACGAAAGCGUGGGGAGCAAACGGG